This 623-nucleotide ribosomal RNA is filed under the name Salmonella enterica. RNAcentral describes it as "partial 23S ribosomal RNA". It matches the Rfam family "Bacterial large subunit ribosomal RNA", at positions 879 to 1503 of the family's 2925-position model. Lineage: Bacteria; Pseudomonadati; Pseudomonadota; Gammaproteobacteria; Enterobacterales; Enterobacteriaceae. The record is from RNAcentral.
GCCUCGUGAAUUCAUCUCCGGGGGUAGAGCACUGUUUCGGCUAGGGGGCCAUCCCGGCUUACCAACCCGAUGCAAACUGCGAAUACCGGAGAAUGUUAUCACGGGAGACACACGGCGGGUGCUAACGUCCGUCGUGAAGAGGGAAACAACCCAGACCGCCAGCUAAGGUCCCAAAGUCAUGGUUAAGUGGGAAACGAUGUGGGAAGGCCCAGACAGCCAGGAUGUUGGCUUAGAAGCAGCCAUCAUUUAAAGAAAGCGUAAUAGCUCACUGGUCGAGUCGGCCUGCGCGGAAGAUGUAACGGGGCUAAACCAUGCACCGAAGCUGCGGCAGCGACGCUGAUGCGUUGUUGGGUAGGGGAGCGUUCUGUAAGCCUGCGAAGGUGGCCUGUGAGGGUUGCUGGAGGUAUCAGAAGUGCGAAUGCUGACAUAAGUAACGAUAAAGCGGGUGAAAAGCCCGCUCGCCGGAAGACCAAGGGUUCCUGUCCAACGUUAAUCGGGGCAGGGUGAGUCGACCCCUAAGGCGAGGCCGAAAGGCGUAGUCGAUGGGAAACGGGUUAAUAUUCCCGUACUUGGUGUUACUGCGAAGGGGGGACGGAGAAGGCUAUGUUGGCCGGGCGACGGUU